Molecule: transfer RNA, 26 nt
Filed under: Sturnus vulgaris (Common starling)
Lineage: Eukaryota; Metazoa; Chordata; Aves; Passeriformes; Sturnidae
Description: partial tRNA-Trp
Source: RNAcentral
GAAACUUAGGAUUACCAAAACCGAAG